Long non-coding RNA from Acomys russatus (golden spiny mouse), 568 nucleotides. RefSeq lists it as uncharacterized. The transcript is spliced from 3 exons. Lineage: Eukaryota; Metazoa; Chordata; Mammalia; Rodentia; Muridae. The record is from RefSeq and is a predicted model, not a curated record.
UGUCCUUCAGUUCAGGAAUCACGGGAGCCAAGUCGGUGAAGACACAGCCAGUCUCUGCCGAGUCUGCUGUGGCCGUCAGCUCCCUUUAUCUUUGCAUUCACGUUUCACUGAUUAAUGUCAAUACCAAGAUUGGGAAAGUCUGAUUUAUGUAAUAGACGGCCAAGUUACGUAACGGCAGUAAUAAGAACAGCUCCAAGUCUGGAAACAAAAGCAGCUUGGUGAGCGCAGCUCUGAUGGGAAAGAUGUUAAACAGCUCUGGAGAGCAGCCAGGCUUGCGUGGUUCCUGUACCGCGGGCGGACAUCCUUCCAGGAGCCAGACUUCCUUUCUCAUGUUCGCAUUCAAACUGAACACCCUGCCCCUUCCACACACUUGUUUCCAGUCAAAGAAGCACAACUCCACGUGCAAACUUGACAAGCACCGCACAGACAAGCCAGCCGAUAAAGAAACGAGGAAAGAAGACAAGGGAAACGCAACAAAACCAGGAAAGAACCCAAAAGCCCGCAGAAGAGAAGUAUGGGAAAGGGGCCUCAGGAUGGCCUGACAAGCCUUUAUUAACAGAAACUUCUG